AUUUGUGUUUGACGAAUGACUGUUUUGUAUGACGUCUUGUCGAGAAAUUCUGGGCUAUAAAUUCCCUCUCUCUUUCCUCACUUUAAACCAUCACCACCAGCUCCUGGACAGCUUGUCAAGGUAACAAGGUCAACACAUGGCCAGUAUGGGGAUGCCAAGAAGAGUAUUACUGUUUCUGAUUUUGCAGCUCAUUACAAGAGGAUCAGCGGUGAAUGAAACAAGUUAUUUUACGACACCUGAACCUGAUGGUUCUGGAAUGGAGCCAACAACAAUCGCCUUUGAAACAACUACCGGUGUCAUGGGUAGAACGACAGAG
Long non-coding RNA from Hippocampus comes (tiger tail seahorse), 316 nucleotides. RefSeq lists it as uncharacterized. The record is from RefSeq and is a predicted model, not a curated record. The transcript is spliced from 3 exons. NCBI's taxonomy places the organism in Eukaryota, Metazoa, Chordata, Actinopteri, Syngnathiformes, Syngnathidae.